AUCCUUUGCUGAGGAUACGGUUAACGGAGCGAAAGCGACGUUCAACCUCAAAAGAAGCAGAGGGGGCUUAGUGGUGGGGUGACUGCGUACCUUUUGUAUAAUGGGUCAGCGACUUAUAUUCUGUAGCAAGGUUAACCGAAUAGGGGAGCCGGAGGGAAACCGAGUCUUAACCGGGCGUUAAGUUGCAGGGUAUAGACCCGAAACCCGGUGAUCUAGCCAUGGGCAGGUUGAAGGUUGGGUAACACUAACUGGAGGACCGAACCGACUAAUGUUGAAAAAUUAGCGGAUGACCUGUGGCUGGGGGUGAAAGGCCAAUCAAACCGGGAGAUAGCUGGUUCUCCCCGAAAGCUAUUUAGGUAGCGCCUCGUGAAUUCAUCUCCGGGGGUAGAGCACUGUUUCGGCUAGGGGGCCAUCCCGGCUUACCAACCCGAUGCAAACUGCGAAUACCGGAGAAUGUUAUCACGGGAGACACACGGCGGGUGCUAACGUCCGUCGUGAAGAGGGAAACAACCCAGACCGCCAGCUAAGGUCCCAAAGUCAUGGUUAAGUGGGAAACGAUGUGGGAAGGCCCAGACAGCCAGGAUGUUGGCUUAGAAGCAGCCAUCAUUUAAAGAAAGCGUAAUAGCUCACUGGUCGAGUCGGCCUGCGCGGAAGAUGUAACGGGGCUAAACCAUGCACCGAAGCUGCGGCAGCGACACUAUGUGUUGUUGGGUAGGGGAGCGUUCUGUAAGCCUGUGAAGGUGGCCUGUGAGGGUUGCUGGAGGUAUCAGAAGUGCGAAUGCUGACAUAAGUAACGAUAAAGCGGGUGAAAAGCCCGCUCGCCGGAAGACCAAGGGUUCCUGUCCAACGUUAAUCGGGGCAGGGUGAGUCGACCCCUAAGGCGAGGCCGAAAGGCGUAGUCGAUGGGAAACGGGUUAAUAUUCCCGUACUUGGUGUUACUGCGAAGGGGGGACGGAGAAGGCUAUGUUGGCCGGGCGACGGUUGUCCCGGUUUAAGCGUGUAGGUGUGUGUUCCAGGUAAAUCCGGUUCACUUUAACACUGAGGCGUGAUGACGAGGCACUACGGUGCUGAAGCAACAAAUGCCCUGCUUCCAGGAAAAGCCUCUAAGCAUCAGGUAACAUCAAAUCGUACCCCAAACCGACACAGGUGGUCAGGUAGAGAAUACCAAGGCGCUUGAGAGAACUCGGGUGAAGGAACUAGGCAAAAUGGUGCCGUAACU
Molecule: ribosomal RNA, 1219 nt
Filed under: Salmonella enterica subsp. enterica serovar Schwarzengrund
Lineage: Bacteria; Pseudomonadati; Pseudomonadota; Gammaproteobacteria; Enterobacterales; Enterobacteriaceae
Description: partial 23S ribosomal RNA
Rfam family: Bacterial large subunit ribosomal RNA
Source: RNAcentral